Molecule: ribosomal RNA, 482 nt
Filed under: uncultured bacterium
Lineage: Bacteria
Description: partial 16S ribosomal RNA
Rfam family: Bacterial small subunit ribosomal RNA
Source: RNAcentral
AUUGAACGCUGGCGGCAUGCUUUACACAUGCAAGUCGAACGGUAACAGGCCGCAAGGUGCUGACGAGUGGCGAACGGGUGAGUAAUGCAUCGGAACGUGCCCAGUCGUGGGGGAUAACUACUCGAAAGAGUAGCUAAUACCUCAUACGAUCUAUGGAUGAAAGCGGGGGACCGUAAGGCCUCGCGCGAUUGGAGCGGCCGAUGUCAGAUUAGGUAGUUGGUGGGGUAAAGGCUCACCAAGCCAACGAUCUGUAGCUGGUCUGAGAGGACAACCAGCCACACUGGAACUGAGACACGGCCCAGACUCCUACGGGAGGCAGCAGUGGGGAAUUUUGGACAAUGGGCGCAAGCCUGAUCCAGCAAUGCCGCGUGCAGGAAGAAGGCCUUCGGGUUGUAAACUGCUUUUGUACGGAACGAAACGGCUCUGGUUAAUACCCGGGGCUAAUGACGGUACCGUAAGAAUAAGCACCGGCUAACUACGUG